GAACCAUUUUGUAACCAUAGAAAACCUUGGAUGCUGCUUCAUCAUCUUCUUCUUCUUGGCUAACAUCAAGCAUCUCUUCUGUUUUUUAUAUCAUUCUCAGCCUUAACAAACAGAAAGCCGUAGAGAAGAUGGAGAUUCAAAGAUACUGGAAGUUCAUUCUAUGCUAAAGUCAUCUCCAAUGGUCGGUCUUGGUUUUUAUUUGCAAACCCGAAAAACCGAACCGUAAAAUACCCGAUACCCAGAAUUAUACAUAGGUCCGGUAAUCAGUUAUGGUUUUUGAAUGUUUUUCGGUCUCGGGUCGGUUCGGGUUUAGUCCGGGUCGGGUUAACUCAUUUGCUUAGCCCUAGCCAGAUGUCAUCUCCUCAUUUUUUCCCUCUUCCUAUUUUGUCUUCUUAAAAUGCUCCUCCACUCCCACUCAAAUUUUCUAAAAAUUUUGAAGUUCCCUCCUAAAUCUUUCCAUUCCGUCUUUAUCCCCACUCAUUUGUAGUUCCCUCUUCAUAACCCUAUCAAUUCACCUCCCGUCCUCCCGAGAUGAUAUCCACAACGAACCAUCACCGACAUGAACCAACCAAACCCCCAUCACACCAACGCGAACCAGCAUCACCACCACCGGAUCUCUCUCAUACCACCAUGACACCACCACAGAUGUGUUGUUGAUGGUGUAUAUCAUCCUACGAGGGUUUCAAAUGGUUCUGAUAGAUGAAACACUUGGAAUACAACUUCUGAUGUACCAGUUAUCAUUAAAAUUCAUUAUAAUUUUUGGAAAAAUUGUAUUAGUGUGUUUCUUUGCCAGGUGCUCCGAAGUCUCACACCACUCUCACUUCUAUAGAUCAGGAUUGCUGCUUCUUUUAUGCUCUAUUGGUUUUACCGUACUUUAGCUAUUAUGGGGAAUGAGCUUCAUAGCCAGGGAAUGUUUAACGAGGCACUAGAAAAGUAUUUACGGGUACUGGUAACUGAUGCAAGAAAUGUUAAAGCUCUUUGUAGGAGAGAGGCGAGACAUGUAAAAGUUUAGGGCAACUUGAAGAAAUUUAUGAUAUGAGACCUGGAUAGCAUGGAUAGGCCUAUGCUUUAAAGAAUUUCUAUGUUUGGAUCUUGGUUUGCUUUAAUGCCCCUCAGGUUGGUGAAGAACAUAGGAAUACUUCGCUGCAAUAUGGAUGGCAUUCAUGAAGAAUGGUCGAGUUAUGCGGCGGCAACUAUUAUUUUUAUAUGACAAAUUGUAUUUUAAGUGUUGAUGAAUGUAUUGACAAGCAAUAUAUUUGCUAAUGUUAAAAUGUUUGUAGUAUAAAUGAUAAAUGAUUAUGCAAUUGGUUUUUUUGAUAUCUAUAUA
Molecule: long non-coding RNA, 1327 nt
Organism: Helianthus annuus (common sunflower)
Lineage: Eukaryota; Viridiplantae; Streptophyta; Magnoliopsida; Asterales; Asteraceae
Exons: 6
Source: RefSeq, a predicted model, not a curated record